GAGCAAAUGCCAGAGAUGACACCCUAUAACGCCCCAGGGAGAGUCCCCCUCCGCUCUUGAAACAAGAGUGGGCUGAUCCAGAGAAAAACAUCCGCGAACGAGCGCUGGAGCCCUCGGGAAAGUUGCUGGCUGGGGUUCGCUGGGGUCAGGGAGGGGGGCCCGCUGUGCGCGUGUGAGUGGCUGCACCCCUCCAUGCUUGCACACUUGCCUCUCCGGGAAGAAUCGGAAGAAUCGGUGUGCCUGCUUGCGUGCCUGCUACUAUUCCAUCGGGUUUUUUGCACACACAGCCAGGGCACGGGGACGAGGUGCCAGUCUUCCAACCUCUAAGCUUGGAAACAGCUGUGGGUUUCAGCUCAGGGAGAGUGGGGUCCUCACUAGCUGAGGCCCCUCUUUAAUGUCCUGACCUAGAUAAUGUGUCUGGCAGGGUCCAGGUCUGAGAGCAGGGGGCAGUUGAAGCUCCUCGGUAAGCAAUGGCCGGCCACCAGAGCUCUCACUUGCCCUGCCUGUGUGUCAACAAUGCCUUGGGCUUGUGUGUCCACGGCUACGGAGCAAAGAUGAAAUUCUUCCUCAUCACCGCCUGCACCUGACAGGGGGACAGGCACACGGAAGUUGACUUAACCCCCCCUGGCUUCUGAGGUCUAAGUGCAGACAAUGUGGGAUAGGUGGGGUUCAAGGAAGACUUCACGCUUGAGAAUAGGGCAAGGGGACAGCCAGAACCAGUGUGGCAUUCACAACACUCAAGUCCAUUAGGGUAGUGUCCUCAUGAGGACAAAAUUGCCUCACCGCAAAACCGUUUAUAAACAACCCCACUGCAACUGAAUUCCAAGAAUGUACUGGUUCAGAGUUUACUGAUUUAGACAUCCUCCUAACUCUUUCCCUAGUUCUGCUAAUGGGCCCAUCCUCUACCAACUCCCCUGUCACCAGUCUGGUGAUGAGACGCGCAGUCCUUCAGUAUCGGUUGCAGAGGAUAUAAAAACGUCUGUAAUGCGAGACAUCUGAUAGUUCCCCAGGGGACUCGUGAUGGGCACAGUUUAACCCCAGGGUGCUGAGUGGAGUCUGGUGAAGGGGAAGACUGCACUGUACCUCAGACCUUCUCGCCUAGAACCGCUGAGCGGCCGGACAGAAAAGAACAGAGAAAGACCUUCUUGCACAAUAAUGCCUGGUGCAGGUGCUUAUAGAGAAUUCUUUAGCGAUGCGGAGACUCAGAGAAAGAUGGUGGAAACAGCUUUCUCCACGACACGCUCUUCCCUCUGUUGGCCAACGUCAUCUAACCCUUACCCCCCGUUCCCCGACGGGGAGUUGCUGUUGCUAACCAACAGCAAGAAGCGAACCCCACUUGCAAGAUCUUGUGCCAGCUAGCCAGAUUGCAACCCUUAAACCAUGCCAUUCCUACCUCCUCCCCAGCGAGAGUAUGAGAGGACAAGCUGCAGCAGGCUGGGAGCCGUCAGAAGUUGUUAAUUAGACACAACGUGUCGUCAUUUGCUCCUUUAACAAUCCCACGUCUGAGAGAGUGAAGUGAGACACCAAAUAAAAGACUGAAAUAAAGCCUCACCUCACCAUCCACCCAAAAA
Molecule: long non-coding RNA, 1571 nt
Organism: Zalophus californianus (California sea lion)
Lineage: Eukaryota; Metazoa; Chordata; Mammalia; Carnivora; Otariidae
Exons: 2
Source: RefSeq, a predicted model, not a curated record